RNAcentral lists this transfer RNA (73 nucleotides) under Moorena sp. SIO3I6. RNAcentral's name for it is "tRNA-Arg". It matches the Rfam family "tRNA". From Rfam's summary of the family: Transfer RNA (tRNA) molecules are approximately 80 nucleotides in length. Their secondary structure includes four short double-helical elements and three loops (D, anti-codon, and T loops). The record is from RNAcentral. RNAcentral also lists the same sequence under 3 other names. Lineage: Bacteria; Bacillati; Cyanobacteriota; Cyanophyceae; Coleofasciculales; Coleofasciculaceae.
GGGAGUGUAGCCUAACGGACAAGGCCUCAGUCUUCUAAACUGAUCGAUGUAGGUUCAAAUCCUACCACUCCUG